This is a long non-coding RNA of Peromyscus eremicus (cactus mouse), 4769 nucleotides long. RefSeq lists it as uncharacterized. The transcript has 3 exons. NCBI's taxonomy places the organism in Eukaryota, Metazoa, Chordata, Mammalia, Rodentia, Cricetidae. The record is from RefSeq and is a predicted model, not a curated record.
CUUACUGAGCUUUUUUGAAAUGCAGUUUCUUCAAGACAGGGCAUUUCAGGAUUGUUUUUAAGAUUGGUAGAUGUGCCAGGGGCAGCUAGACUUAGGGAAAUUCUUCGGCUAAAGCAACAUUUUCCUACGCACUGCACAUGGUCUUCUGUUUGUGAGGCACAAAGUUUUCCUGCCUUGGUAGUCUAGUCCAGCCCUGUGUGGAUGUUAGCCUUUUUUCUGCCUGCUUCUUUUGGAGGUUCAUUGUGGUUGGGUUCUCAUGUGCUAAUGCUACCAGUACUCAGUUAAAACUAGGCUACCCUUCUGCACGUCCCUGGAGCUCUCCUUCUCUCUGAGCAACUGCGCUGUCUGGUGCUGGUUCCUUCAGGGGCUCACCUUUCCUGUGCAGCUGUCACAGCAAGACUGCUGUGUUUGGCUUUCCUUUCUAUACUGCAGGCCAGAGGCUACUUGUAGGCAGUCUUGAGGCUCUCCUUGUUUAUAUCGUCGUGUGCUGCUGCCCUUGUCCAGAACCUAACAUCUGCUAUUAAACUUUUCCCAUUAUUUUUAGUUUUAAGGAGAGACAUAUUUUCCUCACCUUAGUAAAUGGUAUAGAGCUGAUGCAGCGCUCAGGUAAAGGCUCCAUGUUUUAUCUAGCUCUGCCUUGUGCUGGUUUGAAAGAUGUCAUGCUUAGUCUGGGGCAUUUGAAUACUCCUCCCCAAUUGGUGGUACUCUCUGGAGAGGCUUAGGAGGCCUAGCUAGAGGAAGUGUAUCACUGGAGAGCAACUUUGAGAACUAAAACUCUUACCAUUUCUAGUUCAUGCUCUCUGCUUCCUGCUUGUGAUUCAAGAUGUGAGAUCUCAGCUUUUGCUGCAGCCAGCCUGCUUGCUGCCUCUACUCCACCGUCAUGGACUCCUACCUUUCUGGAGCUGUAAGUCCAAACUUCUUUGUAAGUUGCCUUGGUGUAUGUUUUAUCCAAGUCCUAUAAAAGUAACUAAUACAUGGUUUUCACUGCCACUAGCUAAGCCUCCUCUAGGCUCCCUUGGGCUGCUGUGCCAUGUUGGGUUUCUAUUAUAGCUGAAAAGUUGAUUUUCCACAGCUGCAUCCACUUAAAAUACAGAAAUUCUUACACCAUCAGCAUUAAACCUUAUAGGAGUUUCCUGUGGUCACCUCCAGGGCCUCUGUGACAGUGCUGCAUUCCUUUCUAGUUUGACAUCCUCUACCUCACCUUACUUCUCUGCCUUCACACCAUCCCCUUUACCAAGUUUUCCCUUCCUAGGCAUAUCCAGGUGUUUCUUCUGCCUUGGAAUACAUAUUUUUCACUCUUGCGCUGGAUAGCUGAUGAUCAGCUCUCAGCCUUCAGUUUUCGAUAGCAUCUCUCUUACAACUCUAUCAGUCACAUAACUCACUGAUUUCCUUCAUGUGUCUCACCAUCUUCUACUUGUCUUUCCUCCCAUUAGACUGUGAGUGCCCUGAAAACAGCAGAACAGUACCAGAUUCCCUAACAGAUACCUAGGAAACAUGCACUGGGGGAAGAAUAGCCCUCCCUCCUGUCUGUCACUCCUGUGCAGCAUUCAGUGCUUCAUCGAUCCCCAGGGAAUAUCUAGUGACUUGUACUUUGAUUCCCCCAAAGGGCUAAGAUUUUGGUAGUAUUACAUUAUUGAGAAAUAAAACCAAAUGUAAAAAUAGAAUUAGGUUAAACUGUUCAUACAUUUAAUUUUACCAGUAACUACCAAAGAAUAAGAAAUGUACUUAUUGAUUGGGUUUUAAAUCUGUUUUACUGGGGAAAAUCAUCCUUCCUAAAAUUGCUAUGGAGGUAUACUCUAUAAACCUCCUAGACAUGUUUAGUUUAUAGUUGUGACCAUAACUUAACACUGAAAAGCUAAAUAACCAUGUGCUUGCCUAACUGGAAUAUGAUUUUCUUCACUUUUCAGCAAGAGAAAUUCUAAAUAACAGUGUCUCAGAUGUGUCAGUUUAUGGGUUCAAGCUUUCUGUUCACUGGUAGACAAACCAUGCAAGUCACUGGUGCCUCUUCUGAGCGAUGAACUUUGAAUACAAACUUGCAGUGGCAUACCCAUCCUGCACAGCACAUACAGCUCCAGUAAGGGACUCAAAUAUUUCUCUCUGUAAACAUGCAACAUGCUAUUGAAAACAUCUUCAAGCCAAACCGAACUGUUUCAUGACUGGCAAUAUCAGAAUGGGAAGGAUAAAACAGACAUGAUACAGUAGAUAACUUGGCACGAAUACAAAGUGAGUUGUGACCACACUGCUAAGAUCAUGUCAUUGCUGAGCGGGCAGCCUGAGCAGGGCAUGGCAAUGAGCCCGUGGAUGCAGCUCCUUCCUGAACAUGAGGAAGGGCAGCCGGCCAGGGCCAGGUGGGUCUUAGCAAUCCCAGAAGCCCUUCAUGCAGCCUGGAUAACUUGAUGCUCCAAUUAGGUAUUGAAGACUUUCUGGGGAAAAACACACCCUUCCCUCUUAACAGAAUGCUGUGUUUUAGUAAAAGACUACAACUUCAUUUUCUUUGUAUCAUACAAAAGGUCACAGCUGUUUGUCAGCCAUGCCAGCAGUGCCUGUGAUUUUACUUGCACGUGGCACCCUCCAGGGCCCUGGAGUGAUGGGUGCUCUCUUGACUGGAGAGCUGUUUUCAGGUGUGCCCCCUGCAUGCUCCUUGCAUUUGUCAGUGGCCUCCGGUUCUUUCCCUCUGUGUUCUUCCACUUUACUUAACGUCACCUUCUCCUCAGGUUCCUGCGUGAGCUUCUUUGCUGAGAUCUGGAUGUUUUCUCCUGUGGUUGGCUUCUUCCCUUUUUCCUUCUCCGACACCACCCUACUAGCAGUGUUGUUAGUCUUCUUGGAUGGAAGAGGUGUUUCAUCAGUUUUAUUGCUCUUUUUCUCUGGAGACCUUGUUCUGUUUUUUCCCAGUUGAGUCUGCUUCAGAUCUUUCCUGAUGACCCCCGACCUUUCUUUCCCAUCUGGGAGCUGUUCAGCACUGACAAGGGUAUGGCCCACCGCUCUUUGGCUCCCAGCCUCUGAUAACUUGCUUUCAGUGUUUGAUGGGCCACUGCCUCCAAGCUUUGGCUGCUUCUUGGGACUAGAAGAGCGUCCUCUGCCUUUUCUGCAGGGAUCUUGUCCAGAGCCUGCCUUAGUGGUGAUCUGGCCUUUAGUCUCUCCUUUCCUAGGGCUGAGUGACCGAUCUCGAGAUUUUCCUCUGGGGUCACUUUUUAGGGGCCUGGGAAUCUUUUCCAAAUGUUCCUCUGAAUGUCGAUUAGCUGACUUUUUGGGACUAGCAGAUCUACCUCUUCGUGUGACACUAUUUUCUCCUUUUAGUAGACUCUUCUCACCGUGCCCAUGACUGCUGGGUGGAUCCUUCUGACUCACGUUUUUCUGCAGAACAGUCUGAUGCUUCGGUUCAGGCUGGCUUCCAUUGAAAGUGCUUUUCUUUUCUGGUACAGUGUUCUUGAGUUCUUCUGCCUUUUCACAUAUCUGAACUCUAAUCAGAGAGUCUUCGGUUCCUGACACAUGAGACUCUUCAAAUAUGGAAGCAGAAUGUGAAGAUGGGAGAAGUGGUGGUUGUUCAUCAUAAAUGACAUUGGAAGAUGAAGGACUAUUAAUAUCCCAAUCACCUAAAAAGUGAUUGAGUAAGACACAGUUACACUCAAGAAUUAGAACUGGGAACAGGGAGUUUUGAACUCUGACAGCCUUUUGAACAUGUUACUGGUUGCAUAGCCCAAGGAGGAGUAUGUCACAUAGCUUAUACACGUUUACGAUUACAUCACUCUCUAGAAAGGCAGAUGCCUGUAGAUAUCUGCUCAUGUAUGAAGGGCAGAUUAUGUCAUAAUAAUUGUUUCACUUAUGUACUGUAAGAGGUAAUAUACGAUCUGUAAAUUAUUCAUAAAGCCAAAUAAGAUACAAGUAAUAAAACUGGACCAAAGUAUCUGGUCCAAGAAACUUACUAAUUAGGCUAUUAUUACUGUUUAACUUAAGGAUAUGCCAAAAUCACUAGUGAAAAAGACCAGACUGUGGUAACCCAAAGGAGGUUUACGGGCACUGUAAAUAAUUUUCUUGUUAGGCUGUCAAAUUUAAUGUCCAAAGGAGACUGAAAAAGUGCAGAAGACAGAAGUAGAUGUAUUUAAUAGCAUCAUUUUAAUUAAAAAGAAAAUGAAAGAAGUGAUUUAAAAGACAUGCAAAUUUACCAAGUCUUUUUAAGGAAAGACCAAGAAAAGCCCUGAAAGCCUUAAUGUUGCUCAGGUUUCACGUAGGAACACAGACCGGAAGGAGCCAAACCUGAAGAAGGAAGAGAGAAAGCCUAGGACUAUGUGAAAACAAACCAGCACAGUCAGCACAGCUGUCGUGGGAACGUGUGCUGUAUGGGCAGCCGGUGGAAGGGAACACAGAGGAUCACAGCCGGAAGGGACUGUAGGAGGUCAUGUCUGCACUGACCCUACAAACGCUCGGACGGGGAGCUGUGCAGGGGGAGACGCACACAAAACGGUGUGGUACUACCUUUAGUUCUAGGAUCAUGCAUUCUCAAAGUGAUUUUUAAAACACUGUGACAGUUCAAAAUACAUAAUAAAGCCAAGGGCACUUACUAUCAGUGCAGGAGUACAGACAUGAUCUUAGAUACCCUGUCCCCAGGUAGUGGGGCUACAGCAACUUCUUAUGGUAAGUGACUAGACAAUCCUACAGUUCUGGCAUUCGCUCAUUACAAAAGACAAAUAUAUCUUACUGUAAGAAAAGAACAUUUAUUGACAAUGUGUAAUUAGCCAAGGAGGGAAUAAAGCUGGGAUAUUCUGGAGCCA